Molecule: unclassified non-coding RNA, 357 nt
Filed under: Leichhardtia lloydii
Lineage: Eukaryota; Viridiplantae; Streptophyta; Magnoliopsida; Gentianales; Apocynaceae
Description: Marsdenia lloydii partial miscellaneous RNA
Source: RNAcentral
AGCUCCAUCUAUCAAUGGCUAAGACCUCCAGUCUUAGUGUAUAGGAGUUAUUGAAAAAUAAGGGAGCAAUACCACCUUCUUGUUCUAUCAAGAGGGCAAUAUUGCUCCUUUAUUUUAUUUUUAUUUGGUACAUUAUCAAAAAAUUAAAUAUCUUAGAAAAAAAAUGGUCGAAACAAUAUUCUAAAUAAAAUAGAAUUUAAAUUUUAAAUAAAAUUUCUUAUUCUUAAUAUUAACCUAAAUAUAUUAAUAUAAAUAGAAGAAAUAAAUUAGAAGAAAUAAAUAUAAAGCGUAUAAAGAGAGCGAGGGAGCGGAUGUUUAGAAGAAAUAAAUAUAAAGAGUCUAAAGAGAGCGAGGGGC